This 33-nucleotide non-coding RNA is filed under the name Catellicoccus marimammalium M35/04/3. Its description in RNAcentral is "L31-Firmicutes ribosomal protein leader". It matches the Rfam family "L31-Firmicutes ribosomal protein leader". Lineage: Bacteria; Bacillati; Bacillota; Bacilli; Lactobacillales; Enterococcaceae. The record is from RNAcentral.
CUCUGUUCUAGCAAAUAGAUCAGGGCAAAGGAG